Molecule: ribosomal RNA, 223 nt
Filed under: uncultured bacterium
Lineage: Bacteria
Description: partial 16S ribosomal RNA
Rfam family: Bacterial small subunit ribosomal RNA
Source: RNAcentral
GACAAACGCUGGCGGCGUGCUUAACACAUGCAAGUCGAACGGUCUACCUUCGGGUAGAUAGUGGCGGACGGGUGAGUAACACGUAGAUGACCUGCCCUUUAGUGGGGAAUAACUUCUCGAAAGAGAGGCUAAUACCGCAUAAGUUCUACAUCGUUGGGUGUAGAAGAAACCUCUGGCCGUCAAAAGCUGGGGGGCGUGAAGGAGGGGUCGUGCGGCGGAUUAG